AGACGGAGGGGGCUAGCGUUGUUCGGAAUUACUGGGCGUAAAGCGCACGUAGGCGGAUUUGUUAGUCAGGGGUGAAAUCCCGGGGCCCAACCUCGGAACUGCCUUUGAUACUGCAAGUCUGGAGUCCGGAAGAGGUGGGUGGAAUUCCUAGUGUAGAGGUGAAAUUCGUAGAUAUUAGGAAGAACACCGGUGGCGAAGGCGGCCCACUGGUCCGGUACUGACGCUGAGGUGCGAAAGCGUGGGGAGCAAACAGGAUUAGAAACCCCGGUAGUCC
RNAcentral lists this ribosomal RNA (274 nucleotides) under uncultured bacterium. RNAcentral's name for it is "partial 16S ribosomal RNA". It matches the Rfam family "Bacterial small subunit ribosomal RNA", at positions 523 to 796 of the family's 1533-position model. The record is from RNAcentral.